Small nucleolar RNA from Cercocebus atys (sooty mangabey), 104 nucleotides. The record is from Ensembl. Lineage: Eukaryota; Metazoa; Chordata; Mammalia; Primates; Cercopithecidae.
AUCCUUUUGCAGUUCAUAAGCAUGAUGAUUGGGUUUUCACAUUGCUGUGUGAGAUGUGCCUCCCUUAAGUCUCGUUACAAUGUCAGCACAUUACCCAUCUGAUG